This 323-nucleotide ribosomal RNA is filed under the name Pseudomonas aeruginosa. Its description in RNAcentral is "bacterial SSU rRNA". It matches the Rfam family "Bacterial small subunit ribosomal RNA", at positions 1022 to 1345 of the family's 1533-position model. The record is from RNAcentral. Lineage: Bacteria; Pseudomonadati; Pseudomonadota; Gammaproteobacteria; Pseudomonadales; Pseudomonadaceae.
GGGAACUGUGAGACAGGUGCUGCAUGGCUGUCGUCAGCUCGUGUUGUGAAAUGUUGGGUUAAGUCCCGCAACGAGCGCAACCCUUAUCCUUUGUUGCCAGCGGUCCGGCCGGGAACUCAAAGGAGACUGCCAGUGAUAAACUGGAGGAAGGUGGGGAUGACGUCAAGUCAUCAUGGCCCUUACGACCAGGGCUACACACGUGCUACAAUGGCAUAUACAAAGAGAAGCGACCUCGCGAGAGCAAGCGGACCUCAUAAAGUAUGUCGUAGUCCGGAUUGGAGUCUGCAACUCGACUCCAUGAAGGCGGAAUCGCUAGUAAUCGU